GACGGAGGAUGCAAGUGUUAUCCGGAAUCACUGGGCGUAAAGCGUCUGUAGGUGGUUUAAUAAGUCAACUGUUAAAUCUUGAGGCUCAACCUCAAAAUCGCAGUCGAAACUAUUAGGCUAGAGUAUAGUAGGGGUAAAGGGAAUUUCCGGUGGAGCGGUGAAAUGCGUAGAGAUUGGAAAGAACACCGAUGGCGAAGGCACUUUACUGGGCUAUUACUAACACUCAGAGACGAAAGCUAGGGUAGCAAAUGGG
RNAcentral lists this ribosomal RNA (253 nucleotides) under uncultured bacterium. RNAcentral describes it as "partial 16S ribosomal RNA". It matches the Rfam family "Bacterial small subunit ribosomal RNA", at positions 524 to 776 of the family's 1533-position model. The record is from RNAcentral.